UUGUGUACUUCGGUAUGCAUCUCAAUUGGACCUGAUAUCAGGCAAGAUUACCCGCUGAACUUAAGCAUAUUAAUAAGCGGAGGAAAAGAAACUAACAAGGAUUCCCCUAG
RNAcentral lists this ribosomal RNA (110 nucleotides) under Phytophthora ipomoeae. RNAcentral describes it as "partial 28S ribosomal RNA". The stretch from base 28 to 110 matches the Rfam family "Eukaryotic large subunit ribosomal RNA", at positions 1 to 83 of the family's 3401-position model. The record is from RNAcentral. Lineage: Eukaryota; Oomycota; Peronosporomycetes; Peronosporales; Peronosporaceae.